RNAcentral lists this ribosomal RNA (395 nucleotides) under uncultured soil bacterium. Its description in RNAcentral is "bacterial SSU rRNA". It matches the Rfam family "Bacterial small subunit ribosomal RNA", at positions 26 to 413 of the family's 1533-position model. The record is from RNAcentral.
AGGACGAACGCUGGCGGCGUGCUUAAUACAUGCAAGUCGAGGGACGAAACCAAGAUGGGCAACCAUCGAGGCUGAAACCGGCGAACGGGUGAGUAACACGUGGGUAACGCACCCCAGACACAGGAACAACAACGGGAAACCGUUGCUAAUGCCUGAUAACCCCUGCUUACCGCAUGGCGGGCAGGGCAAAAGCUCCGGCGGUCUGGGACCGGCCCGCGUCCUAUCAGCUUGUUGGUGGGGUAAUGGCCUACCAAGGCGAUGACGGGUAGCUGGCGUGAGAGCGUGACCAGCCACACUGGGACUGAGACACGGCCCAGACUCCUACGGGAGCAGCAGUAGGGAAUCUUGCACAAUGGGCGAAAGCCUGAUGCAGCGACGCCGCGUGAGGGAUGGAC